Molecule: transfer RNA, 73 nt
Filed under: Stegodyphus mimosarum
Lineage: Eukaryota; Metazoa; Arthropoda; Arachnida; Araneae; Eresidae
Rfam family: tRNA
About the family: Transfer RNA (tRNA) molecules are approximately 80 nucleotides in length. Their secondary structure includes four short double-helical elements and three loops (D, anti-codon, and T loops).
Source: Rfam by way of RNAcentral
GCCUUCAUGGUGUAAUGGUCAGCACACUGAGCCGGUAUUUCAGAGGUCCGUGGUUCGAUUCCCGGCGACGGAA